AUUCAGAUGACGAGUCCCAAAUAGGACGAAACGCGCAUCUUGAAU
Molecule: non-coding RNA, 45 nt
Filed under: Trichobilharzia regenti
Lineage: Eukaryota; Metazoa; Platyhelminthes; Trematoda; Strigeidida; Schistosomatidae
Source: RNAcentral